UGUCCGCCUGGGGACUACGAGCCUUAGCUUAAAACCCAAAGGACUUGGCGGUGCUUAAGAUCCACCUAGAGGAGCCUGUUCUAGAACCGAUAACCCCCGUUAAACCUCACCCUCCCUUGUUUUUUACCGCCUAUAUACCGCCGUCGUCAGCUUACCCUGUGAAGGACUUAUAGUAAGCAUAAUUGGUACAACCCAAAACGUCAGGUCGAGGUGUAGCAAAUGAGAGGGGAAGAAAUGGGCUACAUUUUUUGCAACCAGAAUACACGAAUAAUAAACUGAAAAUAUAUUUAAAGGAGGAUUUAGCAGUAAGUGGUAAACAGAGUGUAUCACUGAAACCGGCCCUAAAGCGCGCACACACCGCCCGUCAC
Molecule: ribosomal RNA, 368 nt
Filed under: Chorisochismus dentex (rocksucker)
Lineage: Eukaryota; Metazoa; Chordata; Actinopteri; Blenniiformes; Gobiesocidae
Description: partial 12S ribosomal RNA
Rfam family: Bacterial small subunit ribosomal RNA
Source: RNAcentral